Long non-coding RNA from Xenia sp. Carnegie-2017, 443 nucleotides. RefSeq lists it as uncharacterized. The record is from RefSeq and is a predicted model, not a curated record. The transcript is spliced from 3 exons. Lineage: Eukaryota; Metazoa; Cnidaria; Anthozoa; Malacalcyonacea; Xeniidae.
AAUGCGUUGUCACAACGAAAGAGAAAUGUUCCCAUCAUUCAUUAUUAAAAUGUCAUAUCUGUGCCAGGCCGUUGUUAAACGACACAAAAAAAUUCCCUGACUCAUUGUUUUCCGCUUCAAAGGCAAUAAAUUUGCACAAUGCCGCCAAUGCAAGAAUAUCCAGUGGCAGAUCGUGGUGUGCUCCUACUGCUGAUGGAAAUCACUAUCUUCAAGUUUUCAAAGGAAACAAAAACGCUUACAAAGAAGCUGCUAUAUCAAACAUCAAAGGAGGUACAAGGACGAGAGCUUUACGACUUACUCCAGUGACCUACAACAAUCGACCCUGCAUAAGGGUAGAACUUUGUGGCGGAGUUAAGAACUUUAUUAAAAUUGAGAACAGUGGCGUGGCCCGGGAAAGGAACUGAAGGAGCUUGUCUUCCCCCAGUUAUUUUGAUGAACAAUUU